GGGAAACGGGAAGAAGAAGAGAAGCGGAGAGGAAGGGAGUCGUCGCGCCUUGCCAGCUCGUCGCCGCGCCUUGCCCGCUCGUCGCCGCGCCUUGCCCGCCCGUCGCGGCCGUUCCGUGGAGUCCGCCUUGGUCCCGGUUGAACAGGGAUGAAGGAGAGGCGUCGAGAGAGAGACGCGAUGGAGGUCAGAAGGAGGAGCUGCCAUCACUGCCGUCCCGUCCAUGGAGCCGCCUUCGCGUCGCCGUCGUGCUUCGAGGUCAUCGCUCUGUGUCACUGAGAGAAGCCCGAGAUGGAGAUGAGGGAGACGUGAGCCAAGGACUGCGACGAGGAGGAAAAGCCGCCGUCACCUUCACUGGAGCCGCGAUCGCUGUCACCGUUCUGCCUUUCCCUGAGCCGCUAAUACCACCAUAUUCUUCCAAUUCCAUUCCUGUUCCGUGAGAGUUGGCUACUGCAGUUUCUGUUUUGGGGUUUUCCGCCAUUGAAGCUACCAUCAACAGCGCCACUCUCCAUUUUGAUUCCAAUUCUGUAAUUCGAAAACCUGCUCAACGUGCAGGUUGCCUGUUGAAGAAAAUUCUGCAAGUCAUUGGGUUGCGUGUUUCACAUCAAGCAGAAAGCAUAAAAAAUCAAAACAAUAUUUUCAAGGCUCAUGAGGAGAAGUACCAAUCAAGAAUAAAUGCACUUGAAACUCUUGCGGCUGGGGCCACUGAAGAGAAUAAGGUAGUUUCUUUGUUGAUUGAGCUGGGGGUGUGGAACUUUGCUAUAGGGAAUAGAAAUGCAUAUGAGUUCUGUUGCUGAGAAGGUAUUUCUUUAUAGAUCCUCAUUUUUGUUAGAAGUUAAAACUUGAAGUUGUUAUUUUCAGCAUGAUUAAGUAGCUCAUUUUUAUGCAGUUCUGUGAAUAUAAUCUUAGUGUUAUUAACUGAUUUUUCUAUUGAAUAUUCCAAAAAAUCCAAGUUAAGUCUUCCUCUCAUGAAAAUCCUUAAGGAAAAUUUUAUGGGAACUCAUACUCCUGAACCAGAAUUAAUGAAAAUUUUAUGCUGCUCUUCUUCUCUUCAUUCUCAUCACUCUUUUCUAAAUUUACCUGCUUUAAUUUGUUCUUUGAUCCUAUCAUGUUCAUAUGCUACAGAGAAUUGAUUAAUUAAUUAAUUGUGUGUAGUUAAUAUUGAUCUUCUUGUUAAUGAAGAGUAGAUUAAUUGAUCAUUUCUACCAUUGACAUUUUUCUUGGUUUUGUAGAUCUGUGAUCUGGUUGCUGUUGCUAGGUUUUUAAAUGCAACUCUCAUAAUUCCUGAAAUUCAAGAAAGUACUCGCUCAAAAGGAAUUAGGUAUAUGUGGCUAAGUAUCUGCUUUCAUUAUCGUGCCGUUGGGAUUUAUAUAUUAAUAUUUUCUUAAUAAUA
This is a long non-coding RNA of Arachis duranensis, 1390 nucleotides long. RefSeq lists it as uncharacterized. The transcript has 3 exons. NCBI's taxonomy places the organism in Eukaryota, Viridiplantae, Streptophyta, Magnoliopsida, Fabales, Fabaceae. The record is from RefSeq and is a predicted model, not a curated record.